UACGUAGGGUGCGAGCGUUAAUCGGAAUUACUGGGCGUAAAGUGUGCGCAGGCGGCCGUGCAAGUCUGGCGUGAAAGCCCCGGGCUCAGCCCGGGAAGUGCGCUCGAAACUGCGCGGCUCGAGUGCCGGAGGGGAGAGUGGAAUUCCUGGUGUAGCGGUGAAAUGCGUAGAGACCGGGAAGAACACCAGUGGCGAAGGCGGCUACCUGGACAGGUACUGACGCUGAAGCGCGAAAGCUAGGGGAGCAAACAGG
RNAcentral lists this ribosomal RNA (253 nucleotides) under uncultured bacterium. RNAcentral describes it as "partial 16S ribosomal RNA". It matches the Rfam family "Bacterial small subunit ribosomal RNA", at positions 524 to 776 of the family's 1533-position model. The record is from RNAcentral.